CGAAAUUCCUUGUCGGGUAAGUUCCGACCUGCACGAAUGGCAUAACGAUGGCCACACUGUCUCCUCCCGAGACUCAGUGAAGUUGAAAUGUUUGUGAUGAUGCAAUCUACCCGCGGCUAGACGGAAAGACCCCAUGAACCUUUACUGCAGCUUUGCAUUGAACUGUGAACCGAUUUGUGUAGGAUAGGUGGGAGGCAGAGAAGAGUCCACGCCAGUGGUCUUGGAGCCGACCUUGAAAUACCACCCUGAUUUGUUUGCGGUUCUAACCACGGACAGUGAUCCUGUCUUGGGACCGUGCAUGGUAGGCAGUUUGACUGGGGCGGUCUCCUCCUAAAGGGUAACGGAGGAGUACGAAGGUACGCUAGGUACGGUCGGAAAUCGUGCUGAUAGUGCAAUGGCAAAAGCGUGCUUGACUGCGAGAGCAACAACUCGAGCAGAUGCGAAAGCAGGUCAUAGUGAUCCGGUGGCUCUGAAUGGAAGGGCCAUCGCUCAACGGAUAAAAGGUACUCUGGGGAUAACAGGCUGAUACCGCCCAAGAGUUCAUAUCGACGGCGGUGUUUGGCACCUCGAUGUCGGCUCAUCUCAUCCUGGGGCUGUAGUCGGUCCCAAGGGUAUGGCUGUUCGCCAUUUAAAGAGGUACGUGAGCUGGGUUUAAAACGUCGUGAGACAGUUUGGUCCCUAUCUGCCGUGGGCGUUGGAAGAUUGACGGGGGCUGCUCCUAGUACGAGAGGACCGGAGUGGACGCACCUCUGGUGUACCGGUUGUCACGCCAGUGGCAUUGCCGGGUAGCUAAGUGCGGAAGAGAUAACCGCUGAAAGCAUCUAAGCGGGAAACUUGCCUGAAGAUGAGUCUUCCCGGAGGUAAAACCUCCCUCAAGAGUCGUCCGAGACCAGGACGUCGAUAGGUCAGGUGUGUAAGCGCUGUGAGGCGUUGAGCUAACUGAUACUAAUUGCUCGUGAGGCUUGAUCCU
This 970-nucleotide ribosomal RNA is filed under the name human gut metagenome. RNAcentral's name for it is "bacterial LSU rRNA". It matches the Rfam family "Bacterial large subunit ribosomal RNA", at positions 1960 to 2925 of the family's 2925-position model. The record is from RNAcentral.